CGCCAUUUCAUGUUCUUAAUCAUCUAUGUCUUAAUCGUAGAGUAGAGCCUAUUUGGCAACUCCACUUGAUUUGUUGUGCUGUGAAACUCAAGUAUGUAAGAUUUUUGUAUGUGUAUGCAAUGCAUCAUGUGAUAAUGUCAAUUCCUUUACCUUCAUAAAAAAAGAGGAUUCUCUCUCUUUUCACUUUAGCAGCAGUUACAUGUAUCUUACUAAUAAGACCUGCAUUUGACUCAAAAACUUCAAUCCACCCAGUUAAAAAACUAAUAAACAUGACUACCUGCUGCACAGUUAGCUACAGGUAGCAAAUGCUUGUCCUCUGUCUCAGAUAGCUCUGUCUCAGAUAGCUAUACCACUCUUUCCUAACAAAGGUAAAGAUAUUGCAUCUUUAAAAUAAGUUCACUGAGAUCUUAGUCUUGCUCUUAGUAUUUGUUUGCAUGCAAUGUGUAUUCAAACUCCUAGUUAUCUAUAAAAUGUGAUACUAACAUGAAGAAGUUUGCAACUCAUGACAGUUUUACUAAGCAAAGAGAAAAUGAUAUUAAGUUUAUUAGUUUUUUAACUGGAUACAUUCAAGUUUUUGAGUCAAUUGCAGGUAUUGUUAUAAUUAGUGAGACAACGUACUGCUGCUUAGAAGAUGGCAUCCAUCAGAAUUUUCAGUUGAUCCAACAGAAGAAGUUAUUCUAGACACAUAUAGUCCCUUAGAUUUUAAAAAGAAAGUGAAUGUAUAAUAAAAUAAUGUUGUGAGACUCUUUCCUUUAGCUUUCAGAGUUAAGUGGAGUUACUGUUGAUGCCAUUUCUGUUGCAACAUAUUUGAGAUCAUUUCCAGCUGAGAUAUCACGUCUUGAUAUUGCGAAUGAGUUGCAAUGGAAUCAAGCAUCACUGUAUGAUGCUGAUGGAGAUGUCAUUUAUUACAAAGACAAUAGAGA
Long non-coding RNA from Amphimedon queenslandica, 923 nucleotides. RefSeq lists it as uncharacterized. The transcript is spliced from 3 exons. The record is from RefSeq and is a predicted model, not a curated record. NCBI's taxonomy places the organism in Eukaryota, Metazoa, Porifera, Demospongiae, Haplosclerida, Niphatidae.